CUUGCCAGGAUGACAGAGAAGGAGGAUGGUGGCGGUAACUUACCAGGAUGACAGAGAAGGAGGAAGGUGGCGGUAACUUACCAGGAUGUCAGAGGAGGAUGGUUGCGGUGACAUACCGCGGUGACAGAGAAGGAGGAUGAUGGUGGUGACUUACCGCGUAGACAGAGAAAGAGGAUGGUUGCGGUGACUUACCAGGAUGAUAGAGAAGGAGGAAGGUGGCGAUGACUUACCAGGAUGACCGAGAAGGAGGAAGGUGGCGGUGACCUAUCAUGGAGACAGAGAAGGAGGAAGGUGGCGGUGACCUAUCAUGGAGACAGAGAAGGAGGAAGGUGGUGGUGACUUACCGCGAUGACAGAGAAAGAGGAAGGUGGCGGUGACUUACCAGGAUGACCGAGAAGGAGGAAGGUGACGGUUACCUAUCAUGGAGACAGAGAAGGAGGAAGGUGGCGGUGACUUACCAGGAUG
Molecule: long non-coding RNA, 465 nt
Organism: Mizuhopecten yessoensis (Yesso scallop)
Lineage: Eukaryota; Metazoa; Mollusca; Bivalvia; Pectinida; Pectinidae
Exons: 2
Source: RefSeq, a predicted model, not a curated record